RNAcentral lists this ribosomal RNA (424 nucleotides) under uncultured bacterium. RNAcentral describes it as "bacterial SSU rRNA". It matches the Rfam family "Bacterial small subunit ribosomal RNA", at positions 354 to 796 of the family's 1533-position model. The record is from RNAcentral.
GUGAGGAAUUUUCCACAAUGGGCGAAAGCCUGAUGGAGCGACGCCGUGUGUGCGAUGAAGUCCUUCGGGAUGUAAAGCACUGUCAGUGGGGACGAUAUUGACUGUACCCACAGAGGAAGGCCCGGCUAACUACGUGCCAGCAGCCGCGGUAAUACGUAGGGGCCAAGCGUUGUCCGGAAUCAUUGGGCGUAAAGGGCGUGUAGGCGGCCCGGUAAGUCGGAUGUUAAAUCUACAGGCUCAACCUGUAGCCGCAUCCGAUACUGCCAGGCUAGAGAAUGGUAGAGGAAAGCGGAACUUUCGGUGUAGCGGUGAAAUGCGUAGAUAUCGAAAGGAACACCAGUGGCGAAGGCGGCUUUCUGGGCCAUUUCUGACGCUGAGACGCGAAAGCCAGGGGAGCAAACGGGAUUAGAAACCCGGGUAGUCC